Molecule: ribosomal RNA, 257 nt
Filed under: uncultured bacterium
Lineage: Bacteria
Description: partial 16S ribosomal RNA
Rfam family: Bacterial small subunit ribosomal RNA
Source: RNAcentral
UACAGAGACCUCAAGCGUUAUCCGGAAUCAUUGGGCGUAAAGCGUACCGAUAGGUGGUUUUACAAGUCAGAAGUGAAAUCUCUCAGCUUAACUGGGAGACUGUCUUUUGAAACUGUAAAACUAGAAGGGCAAAGAGGAAGCUGGAACAAACGGUGUAGUAGUGAAAUGCGUUGAUAUCGUUUGGAACACCAAUAGCGUAGGCAGGCUUCUGGGUGCCACUUGACACUGCUAGGACGAAAGCGUGGGUAGCGAAUGGG